CCUACGGGUGGCUGCAGUAACGAAUCUUCCGCAAUGCGCGAAAGCGUGACGGGGCAAUGCCGCGUGCAGGACGAAGCCCUUCGGGGUGUAAACUGCUGUCAGGGUUCACCAACACAAUGAGGAGACCCAAAGGAAGCACCGGCUAACUCUGUGCCAGCAGCCGCGGUAAUACAGAGGGUGCGAGCGUUAAUCGGAAUCACUGGGCUUAAAGCGUGCGUAGGCGGAUGUGCAGGCAUGUUGUGAAAUCCCAUGGCUCAACCAUGGAAUUGCUUCGU
RNAcentral lists this ribosomal RNA (275 nucleotides) under uncultured bacterium. Its description in RNAcentral is "partial 16S ribosomal RNA". It matches the Rfam family "Bacterial small subunit ribosomal RNA", at positions 338 to 629 of the family's 1533-position model. The record is from RNAcentral.